This is a non-coding RNA of Caerostris darwini, 97 nucleotides long. Lineage: Eukaryota; Metazoa; Arthropoda; Arachnida; Araneae; Araneidae. The record is from the annotation of a GenBank genome assembly.
ACGGCCGUACCAUGCUGAAUAUACCGACCGAAGUUAAGCAUCAUUGGGCGCGGUCAGUGCUUGGGUGGGUGACCACCUAGGAACACUGCGUGCCGUU